GUUUAAAUAGCUCAGUUGGUAGAGCAAAGGACUGAAAAUCCUUGUGUCGGCAGUUCGAGUCUGCCUUUGAACA
This 73-nucleotide transfer RNA is filed under the name Nitzschia sp. PL3-2. Its description in RNAcentral is "tRNA-Phe". It matches the Rfam family "tRNA". From Rfam's summary of the family: Transfer RNA (tRNA) molecules are approximately 80 nucleotides in length. Their secondary structure includes four short double-helical elements and three loops (D, anti-codon, and T loops). The record is from RNAcentral. RNAcentral also lists the same sequence under 2 other names. Lineage: Eukaryota; Bacillariophyta; Bacillariophyceae; Bacillariales; Bacillariaceae.